Molecule: ribosomal RNA, 253 nt
Filed under: uncultured bacterium
Lineage: Bacteria
Description: partial 16S ribosomal RNA
Rfam family: Bacterial small subunit ribosomal RNA
Source: RNAcentral
UACGUAGGGGGCAAGCGUUAUCCGGAUUUACUGGGUGUAAAGGGGGCGCAGACGGCGAUGCAAGCCAGGAGUGAAAGCCCGGGGCCCAACCCCGGGACUGCUCUUGGAACUGCGUGGCUGGAGUGCAGGAGGGGCAGGCGGAAUUCCUGGUGUAGCGGUGAAAUGCGUAGAUAUCAGGAGGAACACCGGUGGCGAAGGCGGCCUGCUGGACUGCAACUGACGUUGAGGCUCGAAGGCGUGGGGAGCAAACAGG